This is a long non-coding RNA of Alexandromys fortis (reed vole), 3646 nucleotides long. RefSeq lists it as uncharacterized. The record is from RefSeq and is a predicted model, not a curated record. Lineage: Eukaryota; Metazoa; Chordata; Mammalia; Rodentia; Cricetidae. The transcript is spliced from 8 exons.
CUGGCCAUAGCAAGUCUCUGGAUCAUUUUCUUGAUUAAUGACUGAUGUAUGAGCCAUCCCACUAUUGGCAGUGCAACCCAUGGACAGGGGUGGUCCUGGGUUGUUUUGAAAUCAGGUUGAUUGAGCCAUGAGGAAAAAAAAUCAGUAAGCAUUGUUCCUCCAUGGUUUCUGCUUCUUUUCCUGCUUCCAGGUUCCCACCUUGUGUCAUUUUGAUAACAGAAGUAACCUGUAUGGCAAAUAAACAAUUUCUUUUCCACAAAUCAUUUUGGAUUAAUGUUUUUAUCACAAUAAUAAAAAUCAGCAUAUGAUGCAAGUUUUUGCAUCAUACCAACAGCAUAAGUUAGCAGAAUAACAUACACAGGUUGUAGAAUAACCAGGCCUUCCCUUCUAGAAGCCUCCACAUCUCCAGUAAUAUACUGUUUCAUUAACCAGAGUCCAAAAUGAACAAGAGAAUGAAGAUGGGGAAAUAUAGUACAAUUUAAGCAAGAGGACAUAUUACAAAUCAUUGCAAGAUAGUUUUCUCAAAGCAGGAUUCAAAGUAAGUCAAGAGACAAAUGAAAAUAUUGAUUUAGUUGAGACAUUUUGCAAUUACAAAGAUUAAACAGAAGAAAAAUGGUGACUUUAUAUAAGUCAAAUAUAUUAAAUAUUCAGGAAACUCCACAACUUCUUAAUCCAUGUUUUUCAAUAUAAUCAAGGCCACAAUGGAUCCAUCAACUGUGCCUUCUAGGACUGGAGCAAGGACUCCAAGAAUUUCUGUAGAGUUGUAUGCUGUGAAUAUGCAUUAUUACCAUUGGCUAAUAAAAAAUCUGCGUUGGCCUAUGGCAGUGCAGAAUAUAGUAAGGAAGGAAAUCUAAUUUUUUUUUUUUCAGAUAGGGUCUGUUUGCUGGCAGCGAGCAGAAGUGUAGCUCCUUUAAGAGAAAGUUUCCUGACUCAGCAUUAACAGAAAAACCUCCACUGCUUCUUUAAUAAUCAGCUUCUUGUUUCGUCCUGGCAACACAAACAGCUCUGGAUUUUUCCGGAGGUCUUGUUACACAGCGCUUGAAUGAGGUUUGUGGGCAGCAUGUUGCAAGUUACUUGCUUCCCAGAGUUGGGGUGGUAAACAUGCCUCCCAGAGCAGGUGGUAAAUGGACCUCUGACAUGCUGGAAAGCCAAGCAGGAUGGAACCAACAGUCAAAAUGGCUGCUUUGAUCUUAGCCAUACCUGCUUAUCAAUUUUAAACAAUUGUCUCUAAAGUAUUGCAGAUAUGCAAUAAAGACAAAUUCAGAAAAAAAAUAAACCUUUAUAUGGAUCAUAAUGUGUUUAAAAUGUACAUAGGUUUAAGAAAAAAGAAACAUGUAUAUAGGCAGUUUUAGGAAGAAAUAGUUUUUAAAAAUAAGUCUUUAAAGAGACAAUAAAAGCAAUAUAAGAGUACAGACCAUCAUAGAUGAAAGGAUUAAAGAUAAUAAAAUAAAUAUUAAAAACUAAUAGAGAAAAAAUAAACUACAUCAAGAUGAAAUAUACACAGAGAGUCUGAAUUAUGUAUACUAUUGUGUUUUCUUUGAAUAUUUUGACUGUGAAUGAGCUAACUAUAGAGAGAUAUUUCAUUGUAUAGGCUGCUAAGCUAAACAAGCAUAUGUAUUUUAAAAUUAUCUUGAGUUCAAAAUUUGUAUCUAAGGAUAUGUUACUUUGGAAAAGAAGUUCUGCUUUUGUUUCCACAGAAUAUGAGAACCUAUGGAUGCCUUCCAGGCUAAUGUGGUUUGAUGGAACAAGAGCCUCCGAAAGGUCUUUAUGAACCCUAAAAAUACUUCACCCAACAAGCAGCAGGAAAAAAUUUGGAGAAAACUAUACCCAAAUUCCCAAAAAGAUUGUAUGUAAAAGAAACAAAACUGAAUGCUAGAAGAAAGAAGGCAGAAGCAUGUAGCUGCAAAAGAAGAAAGAUGCCAGAAACUUACUGGUGAAGCCAGAAGACAGUGAUGAAUCCCUUGAACCUGGAGUUAGAAGCUGAACUACCCAAAAUAGGUGCAGGGAACCAAACCCCUGUCCUCUUCAUGCAUCUGUUCCAUGCAUCUAGGCCAAGUUUGUGUGCAACACGGGAGCAUGAUUUCUACAGCCAUGUGGAAGAAUCUAGACCAGCAUCCGCGAAGGGACUAGUGCCAAAGGAAGUCGGGGGCUCAUAAGUCCCAAGCCUUCAGAGGCUGGGACACCCUAUGAGUUGCCAAGACAACAGAACCACCCAUUGCAAGAAUGAGGGAAUCUCUCAAUUCAGAAAAGAGAAUUUAAAAGAAAAAAACUAAUGGCUUCUUUCUGCAAUGGAAGAAUGGAGGAAGAGAAGAAAGGAAUCGCUUUACAGCCUAGGAAAUGUAAGAUCAAGUUGCUGGAAAAUACUAUUUGAAAGAAGCUCAGGACAUUUGAAAAGAGGAAACCUCAGUUGAGAAAACACCUCCAUUAGACUGGCCUGUAGGCAAACCUGCGGGGACAUUUUCUUAAUGACUGACUUUGGAUGGUGCCUCCCUUGGGUUAUAAAAGAAACUAUGCUAAACAAGCAAUGGAGAGCAAACCAGAAAACAGUGUAGCUCCAUGGUUCCUGCCUCUGUUUCUGAUGAGUUCCUGCCCUGACUGACCUCAGUGAUCUGCUAUGAUUGCAACAUGCUAAUUCCAGCAACUCCACAGAUGUCUGCUUUUUAUGUGUGUGUACUCCUAAGAAAGGCUGUUUCCCAGGUAUAACCACUGAGGGAGCCAGACCCGCCAGGGACCUCCAUGGGAGAAGGCCUAACCAGGGACAUCUACAAGAAUAGACCUGAGCCAGCGACUUCAGCUAGAGCAGGCCCAAGGCAGCAACCUCCACAGGAUCAGUGGGGACUCUUGAGUGAUGCAUUCCUGGCAGAGCUGUAGGACUGAAGCAUGCUGCUGGCUCAUCUUCUCAUGGAAGACGGAUGCAUUUGACCCACAAAAGACUUCAGGUGUUAAAGGAACGAUCUCCAUGUGUGAAUCAUCCAAGAUUUGGGGUCUAUUUAUUGUUUCCACAUAAUUUAAUCCCAGCUUGAUUGAAACCACCUGAGAUGAUUGGAUUUUUCUGUUAGGUUGAGAAAAUUACCCUUCUGUUAUGUGAGAACAGUGGCAUGAUUUUUACAGCUGCAUUUUAUUACAAACAGGCUGAGCCCGUUCCUGAAUAGAGAUAUCACGAACUAAAGGAAGAUCCUAAAAGGCUGCUGUUGUGGUCUGAAUAUCUGUGUCCCACAUGAAUGUAUGUAUUAAAAUCUGAUCUCUGAAACAAUUUCUCACUACGGGUGCAGCCUUGGGAAAGUGAAUAGGCUCUUCAUGACCGGGACAAAUACGCUAUAAUAGGGGAUUGAGGGAGCCUCUUCACCACCUUCCACCAUGUAAGAAUGCACUGAGAAUAUGUCCUAUAUGAAGUAGAGAACAAAUACUGCUGUCUAAAUUUCAACCUUCUAGCUUUCAAAAAUGUGGAUCAAUACACUUUUCUUGGUUGUAAGUUACAUAGAGAAUUGUUACAGCAAGUCAGACACCUAAGAUAGGAAACCAUUUGGUUUAAUAUCUUUCAGUGCUGGUAGGACCAUAGGCCUUUAGUCUUCUAAAGGAACAUUGUCAGUUUUCUUUCUCAUGGUAUCUGUUUAAUUUCAUCAUUCAAUAAAUUAAGUUUAUUUGA